CGGGCGGCGCCGGAGACCGCCACGUGUCUGUGCGCAGCGCGACGAGCGCAGAGACGGUGAGCGGCCUGGUUCGCACU
Molecule: microRNA precursor, 77 nt
Filed under: Petromyzon marinus (sea lamprey)
Lineage: Eukaryota; Metazoa; Chordata; Hyperoartia; Petromyzontiformes; Petromyzontidae
Description: microRNA pma-mir-4549 precursor
Source: miRBase by way of RNAcentral